RNAcentral lists this ribosomal RNA (772 nucleotides) under uncultured Neocallimastigales. RNAcentral describes it as "partial large subunit ribosomal RNA". It matches the Rfam family "Eukaryotic large subunit ribosomal RNA", at positions 24 to 639 of the family's 3401-position model. The record is from RNAcentral. Lineage: Eukaryota; Fungi; Neocallimastigomycota; Neocallimastigomycetes; Neocallimastigales.
GUAGUCUCGCACAGAUGCAUAUCAAUAAGCGGAGGAAAAGAAACUAACAAGGAUUCCCUAGUAACGGCGAGUGAAGCGGGAAGAGCUCAAAUUUGAAAUCUUAAAGGGUUUCCCUUUACGAAUUGUAGUUUAAAGAAGUGUUUUCUGUUGAGGUUUUGGUAAAAGUUCUUUGGAAUAGGACAUCAUAGAGGGUGAGAAUCCCGUAUUUGACCUUUACUUUCAACUUUGUGAUACACUUUCAAAGAGUCGGAUUGUUUGGGAAUGCAGUCCAAAAUGGGUGGUAAAUUUCAUCUAAAGCUAAAUAUUGGCGAGAGACCGAUAGCGAACAAGUACCGUGAGGGAAAGAUGAAAAGAACUUUGAAAAGAGAGUUAAACAGUACGUGAAAUUGUCAAAAGGGAAGCGUUUGACACCAGUGUUGUUUUCUCGAAAAUCAAUUAAAAAGAGUUAGAUUUUGUUGUGUAUUGACCUUAACAACUUGCAUUUCAAUUUUCUUGCUUUUUUUAAUGCACUUUUCGUUUAACAAGUCAACAUCAGUUUCUUUUGUUGUAAAAAGGUCAUUGGAAGGUGGCUUUCUUUUCGGAGAAAGUGUUUAUAGCCUUUGACUCCUGCAAUCGGAGAGACUGAGGUCUGCAGCGUAGAUCCUUCGGGGUUAGAUACAUUUGUGCUAAGUUAUAGCUUUUUAUAGACAACUUGUUGACUAUGAUUAGUCUUGUAGCUUACUCGCUUAUGCUAUUUUACCUACGCUUAGGAUGUUGAUGUGAUACUGCGAGC